AUAUUUAAUCUAAAAGAGAUUACUAAUUUCGGCUUAGUAAAUUUUGGUUAAACCCCAAAAAUAUUUU
RNAcentral lists this transfer RNA (67 nucleotides) under Salamandrella keyserlingii (Siberian salamander). RNAcentral's name for it is "tRNA-Arg". Lineage: Eukaryota; Metazoa; Chordata; Amphibia; Caudata; Hynobiidae. The record is from RNAcentral.